Molecule: transfer RNA, 76 nt
Filed under: Rhodospirillales bacterium 69-11
Lineage: Bacteria; Pseudomonadati; Pseudomonadota; Alphaproteobacteria; Rhodospirillales
Also listed under: 24 other names
Description: tRNA-Phe
Rfam family: tRNA
About the family: Transfer RNA (tRNA) molecules are approximately 80 nucleotides in length. Their secondary structure includes four short double-helical elements and three loops (D, anti-codon, and T loops).
Source: RNAcentral
GCCCAGGUAGCUCAGUCGGUAGAGCAGCGGACUGAAAAUCCGCGUGUCGGUGGUUCGAUUCCGCCCCUGGGCACCA